RNAcentral lists this ribosomal RNA (425 nucleotides) under uncultured bacterium. RNAcentral's name for it is "bacterial SSU rRNA". It matches the Rfam family "Bacterial small subunit ribosomal RNA", at positions 356 to 773 of the family's 1533-position model. The record is from RNAcentral.
GGGGAAUUUUGGACAAUGGGGGAAACCCUGAUCCAGCCAUCCCGCGUGUGCGAUGAAGGCCUUCGGGUUGUAAAGCACUUUUGGCAGGAAAGAAACGUCGCGGGUUAAUACCCCGCGGAACUGACGGUACCUGCAGAAUAAGCACCGGCUAACUACGUGCCAGCAGCCGCGGUAAUACGUAGGGUGCAAGCGUUAAUCGGAAUUACUGGGCGUAAAGCGUGCGCAGGCGGUUCGGAAAGAAAGAUGUGAAAUCCCAGAGCUUAACUUUGGAACUGCAUUUUUAACUACCGGGCUAGAGUGUGUCAGAGGGAGGUGGAAUUCCGCGUGUAGCAGUGAAAUGCGUAGAUAUGCGGAGGAACACCGAUGGCGAAGGCAGCCUCCUGGGAUAACACUGACGCUCAUGCACGAAAGCGUGGGGAGCAAAC